GUGCGGUUCACCUGAUAAAAGUCACAUCAUCAUCCCAUUGUUUCAUUUGUCUCAGCUCAGCUUCAGAGUGAACGUUUCCAGCUCUGCUUCCACUGCACACUUCGAAAAUCAUCUGCAAACGAUGGCUACAGUCUGCAUUGAGUACUGUGGAGGAUGACAAACAGCAUCAUGCUUCCAGAUAAUAGCCAGGACCCUUCAGGAGGCUAUUUCUGAUGUGCAGAUUCAGCGAAAAAACGGACCUCCAGGCAGCUUUGAGGUGUACGUGAAUAAUGAGCUGGUCUUCUCCAAACUAAAUUCUAGAAAAUUGCCUAAUCCUCAUCAGUUGUGCGAGGUUGUGAAGCAGAAGAUCAAAGAGGGC
Long non-coding RNA from Sphaeramia orbicularis (orbiculate cardinalfish), 358 nucleotides. RefSeq lists it as uncharacterized. The record is from RefSeq and is a predicted model, not a curated record. NCBI's taxonomy places the organism in Eukaryota, Metazoa, Chordata, Actinopteri, Kurtiformes, Apogonidae. The transcript has 4 exons.